AUGGCUCCUACCGAGGCUGAGGCUGAUGUAGAGGAGGGAGAAGAGAAGAAGAAGAGGGAAAGGAAAGCAGCUGAAGCUGCUUUCACGUGGAUUCAAAAUAACUUUGCGACGUGCCCUCCGGAUGCCACUGAUGAUGUGAUCCAGACACAUGCUCGUGUGUAUAUGUGGUACGUUGUGUAGAGGACUUUGUUUCCUGACUCCACUGGCAAGAACGCUCCAUGGAUGUGGCUGAAGGCGUUGACCGUCUUUGAUAGCAAAUGGAGCUGGGGUUCAGCGACUCUUGCCUACUUGUACCGACAGGUAGUUGGUCUGUUUUGUGAUCAACUCAUUUCUUCAUUAGCAAUGCAAGCUUGCUGUCAAGUUAACAUUGUUUUUUUCUUUCAUAUGUAG
RNAcentral lists this ribosomal RNA (390 nucleotides) under Triticum aestivum (bread wheat). RNAcentral's name for it is "partial small subunit ribosomal RNA". The record is from RNAcentral. Lineage: Eukaryota; Viridiplantae; Streptophyta; Magnoliopsida; Poales; Poaceae.